RNAcentral lists this unclassified non-coding RNA (21 nucleotides) under Chlamydomonas reinhardtii. RNAcentral describes it as "small RNA Cre_3108". The record is from RNAcentral. Lineage: Eukaryota; Viridiplantae; Chlorophyta; Chlorophyceae; Chlamydomonadales; Chlamydomonadaceae.
UGCGCUUUUACCUUGGACAGG